GUGGGAGCCGAGCUUGCUCGCGAUGGCGGUACAUUCAGCAUCAUUGCCGGCUGAUGAACCGCCAUCGCGAGCAAGCUCGGCUCCCAC
Molecule: unclassified non-coding RNA, 87 nt
Filed under: Pseudomonas prosekii
Lineage: Bacteria; Pseudomonadati; Pseudomonadota; Gammaproteobacteria; Pseudomonadales; Pseudomonadaceae
Source: RNAcentral